Molecule: ribosomal RNA, 520 nt
Filed under: uncultured Sphingobacteriia bacterium
Lineage: Bacteria; Pseudomonadati; Bacteroidota; Sphingobacteriia
Description: bacterial SSU rRNA
Rfam family: Bacterial small subunit ribosomal RNA
Source: RNAcentral
GGGGUAGAAAUGGGCGCAAGCCUGAUCCAGCCAUGCCGCGUGAAGGAUGAAGGCCCUAUGGGUCGUAAACUUUUUUUAUACGGGACAAACCCCCCGACCUGUCGGGGGUUGAUGGUACUGUAAGAAUAAGGGUCGGCUAACUUCGUGCCAGCAGCCGCGGUAAUACGAAGGACCCGAGCGUUAUCCGGAUUUAUUGGGUUUAAAGGGUGCGUAGGCGGAUUAGUAAGUCAGUGGUGAAAGCCCAUCGCUUAGCGGUGGAACUGCCAUUGAUACUGCUAGUCUUGAGUAUGGUUGAGGUGGGCGGAAUGUGUCAUGUAGCGGUGAAAUGCUUAGAUAUGACACAGAACACCAAUUGCGAAGGCAGCUCGCUAAGCCAUAACUGACGCUGAGGCACGAAAGCGUGGGGAGCAAACAGGAUUAGAUACCCUGGUAGUCCACGCCCUAAACGAUGAUAACUCGAUGUUGGCGAUACACAGUCAGCGUCUAAGCGAAAGCAUUAAGUUAUCCACCUGGGAAGUAC